GGACCCGGCCUGCGUUUGCGGUGGCCGUGCUGUGGGAGCCCCUCUCAGCGGGCGCUCGUCGGUGAAGCUCCCGGGAAGGCAGCAAGUGAAGUUAAGAGAUGAGUUUGUUACUGGCUUUGGGAAUCUUCAGUCUGGACUCUGCCAUGCUGUUACCUUGCAAGCAGGAAGACGUCACGUGAAUUCUGGAGCUACAGAAGUGCUGUGACAUCAGAUGACCUUCUCCACUGUCUUCGAGCCUUGUGUAUGCACAUACAGCCAACAGUAGACUCCAUCCGCUUCUAGAAGUAUGGGUGUUUAAGAAGCUUGAAAACAGCAGCCUGAAAUGUGGAGUUCUAAUGCACUUGGAAAUGCUUUCAUGGCCCUUCCUGCUCCUCAGAAAUACUGCUGGAUUCAAAAGUAAGGCAGGGGAGUAGCUGUUUAGUGAAAAUGUGUUGAAUAAUCCUUGAAUGAAGUUCAAGUGAGAGUGUCACUCCAGAAAGGGAAGUGGCCUUGUGGAUACUCUUAGGACUUAAUAUGAAUAUUUAAGUGUACCAAAUAAAUUGAUGAAAACUGAAUAAAUCAAGGGUCAAAACAUGUAGGAAUACUUGCAUUAUCUUGUCUAAAUGAGAGUGUUUACAACGUUAGUAGCAGCAGCUUUUCUGCUUAUCUCCGAGGCAAUGUGUGUAUGAAUAAAAAUCUUGGAUUUCUGUUUUCAGUGA
This is a long non-coding RNA of Gymnogyps californianus (California condor), 698 nucleotides long. RefSeq lists it as uncharacterized. The transcript is spliced from 4 exons. The record is from RefSeq and is a predicted model, not a curated record. Lineage: Eukaryota; Metazoa; Chordata; Aves; Accipitriformes; Cathartidae.